GUCAGAUGAUUUGAAAUGAUAAUGCUGAUGCUCUGUGAGGUAUGACAGUUAAUAAAGCAUGUUAGAGUUCUGAUGACA
This is a small nucleolar RNA of Choloepus didactylus (southern two-toed sloth), 78 nucleotides long. RefSeq annotates it as small nucleolar RNA SNORD28. Lineage: Eukaryota; Metazoa; Chordata; Mammalia; Pilosa; Megalonychidae. The transcript has a single exon. The record is from RefSeq and is a predicted model, not a curated record.